GCACCUCUAGCUCAGUUGGUAGAGCAGCUGACUCUUAAUCAGCGGGCCCAGGGUUCGAGUCCCUGGAGGUGCACCA
This 76-nucleotide transfer RNA is filed under the name Pygmaiobacter sp. RNAcentral's name for it is "tRNA-Lys". It matches the Rfam family "tRNA". From Rfam's summary of the family: Transfer RNA (tRNA) molecules are approximately 80 nucleotides in length. Their secondary structure includes four short double-helical elements and three loops (D, anti-codon, and T loops). RNAcentral also lists the same sequence under 5 other names. Lineage: Bacteria; Bacillati; Bacillota; Clostridia; Eubacteriales; Oscillospiraceae. The record is from RNAcentral.